This 2173-nucleotide long non-coding RNA is filed under the name Mus musculus (house mouse). Its description in RNAcentral is "Hobbit". The record is from RNAcentral. Lineage: Eukaryota; Metazoa; Chordata; Mammalia; Rodentia; Muridae.
GAGGCUUCUUGGUGGAGAGCUGCACAAAAGACGGUGCUCCGGGCGUGGCGAGUCCUCCACACGAUUUUCUCUCCCAAAGAUAACCUUUGAGUCACCACAUGAAAUUUAAUUAAAACCUACCCAGCCGCACACAUUUAAAAAAAUCCAAUUACCCACACGUCCUUGCAGGACGUUUGGCAGGACCAAAAGAAGGCUUCCAAGGUGAAGGCUUGAUUCUCACAUCAGUCCCACCCUGCUCGCCCUAAAGGGGAUAACUGCAGGCUCCUCACCCACCUGAAAGAUGUCCCCUGUUUUCCCAGACCCCUAGUUCCUAGACUAGUUGCAGGAAGCUGAGUUCAAGACUUUGGGUCAGUGCUAGAGAUUUUCUUUUCUUUUUUAAUUCUCCAUCCUUUCUUUUAAAUGUCGUGCUUAAGAACUAGGGCAUUGAAAAGUCGUUUGCUCUCUCAUUCUCUCCCAAGCCUCCGUUUGGAUGUUCAUCCGGAUUCCCUCUCUCCCUCUUUGGAGGAGGGAAGGGCAAGUGUGAUGGAAAAAUACCUAAUGAUCACUUGGAGAUCUUUGUAAAUGGAGUUGAAGCAGGCGACCUGAAAUGAACCCUCAGUCUAUGCAUUAAGCUUAGUUCAUAAGUAAAAUGCUUCCUAGAGACCGUGAUAAUAACAAAGCAUAUGCCUAUUUUGGUCUUUAAGUGAUUAUUGCAUUAUAAGAUGCCAUCACAGUCUCUUCUAAACAUUCGCUAUAGGAGUUGUACUGUGGGUGUUUGUCCUUCCACAGUGGAGAAAACCUGAGAGCUUUUGUAAAGAUGACUUUUGAAAUAAAGCCAAUGAGGAAGAAAAAGGUUAAUAGCAAGUUUCAAGUCAAUUUAACCCCAAGGUCCUCCCACCCCAACUAAAAGGUGUUUGGAAUCUUAUUUUUAUUUAGUUCUCAAGUGAGAUUCUCUGGGGUGGGGGUGGAGUCCAGAGAGGAAGUCUUGGGGCCUGAGGAGUAGAGGCUACAGGGGCAAGGAGAGAAUCUAUUUUGUUUGAUCUCCUCCUAAGUCUCAUUUGCCUUCAUCUUAGGAGAAGAUAAUGACAAAUUAAAAAAAAAUCUGUAAUAGACUUGGAGUGGCCCAAAGUCCCAAGCUAAAAAAGGUUUUGGGAAGGGAAGAGUGACUUCUGCCACCCCAGACCAAACUGGCUGCCUUAGAGAGUAUUUUCCCAACCCAUCCAUAGCAGAGGGUACCACUACCAGCGUGGAAGAAGAGUCAUCUGGCUUAACUCAACCAGUCCGCUGGGGGCCAGAGAAAGGGAAAGCUAUUAUAGACAUUGACAUUGCACCAGAUUUUAAAACCUUGGUCUUGGGGGGUGGGGACAGAGUGGCUGAAUGAGUGAGAACUAAGGAUGAGGAGUAUUUUGGUUUUAGGGACAACUACAGCCUCUGAAAGCCAGGUCCUCAAGCUUCCAGCCUCAGCCUCCAGCAGUGCAAUCCAGCCUAUCUCCCAGGGCUCUGCUGUGGAUUAAUUGCUCCAUCCAGAGAGGUGGGAAAGUCUGGAACUCUGGGGCCUCCAAGUUUUAGAAGUGUCCCUGUAGCUGACAUUUGGGGCGACAGAGUGGACGAAGAAGUCUCAGUUGACUCAAGCCCUGCAGAGUGCAAGCAUUUAGGGCGACAUCAGAGAAGGAAACCGUUGACUGAGGCCUGCUUUCUAGGGUUUAGAUGCCCAGUGACACACUCUCUGCCCUUCAGGUGCCAGUGCCAGCAUAGUUGUUUAGUGUUCGGGCCUCCGAAGGAUUCCCUCCACGGGGUCACACGGUCUUGCUCUCAGCGCUGGGCACGGGAGCUGGCAAAAAUAUUGGAAUGAUGGAAAAAUCAAAGCAAAGGCGGGUCAGCUUGAAUCGCAUUGGAAUGGAGACUUUUGGGGGUUGGGGGUUGGGUGGGGGAACAGAGAAAAGUAGAACUGGAGAGGGUAAACUGAAUCAAAUCCUGCUCUGUCGUUUUUCUCCCAAGUAAUGACCUGCGCAAAAUUCAAUAUGACCGAGCGAACUGCGUGAGCAUAUUAUACUAACUGCCUGCUCGUGGGGGAGGCCCGGAGAGGGGUGAACCGCAGGUCACGGCGUCUAAAAAUUAUUAAAAUGUUCGAGAACCUCGUGACGCGCCUGCUGUUUAACAAAGACUGCCAAAGUAUGAGAUUAAUACGAAAACU